CAGCCGCCGCGGGUAUACGUAGGGUGCAAGCGUUAAUCGGAAUUACUGGGCGUAAAGCGUGCGCAGGCGGUUAUAUAAGACAGAUGUGAAAUCCCCGGGCUCAACCUGGGAACUGCAUUUGUGACUGUAUAGCUAGAGUACGGCAGAGGGGGAUGGAAUUCCGCGUGUAGCAGUGAAAUGCGUAGAUAUGCGGAGGAACACCGAUGGCGAAGGCAAUCCCCUGGGCCUGUACUGACGCUCAUGCACGAAAGCGUGGGGAGCAAACAGGAUUAGAUACCCCUGUAGUCCCUGUCUCUUAUAA
Molecule: ribosomal RNA, 301 nt
Filed under: uncultured bacterium
Lineage: Bacteria
Description: partial 16S ribosomal RNA
Rfam family: Bacterial small subunit ribosomal RNA
Source: RNAcentral